CACGAUCGUCGACGGACUUGUUUCUCUCGGCGGGGGUUUGGGUUUUCCUGAGCAGAUACAGGCGAUCGUUAUUUUAUGUUCGCUCGCCAGAUCGUCCUCCGCAGUAAGCGUUCGGUAUUCGUACGAGAGACGUGUUCAUUGGACAAGAUGCGUACACUACAAAGAGGUCUUUUGGCAUUUUGCCUGUUUGCAUCCGUCAUGUCUCAGCCAACUGGAAAUGACUUGGCCGUUCAGGCUGUCUCUCAGGGCGCCCACUUAUUCUCUACCAAUUUUGUUAAGACUGUUGCAAAAGAACAAGAACAAAAUUUAAUAUGCUCUCCCCUGAGUGCCCACAUCGCACUGAGCAUGGCAGCUGACGGCGCUGCCGGAACUACCGAGGCACAGUUCAAAGAUGUUCUCAAGCUUCCAGCCACGAAAGCUCAGACUCUGGAAGGUUAUCAGAAUCUCAUCGAUAAAUUGAAUAACGUUGAAAACGUUACUUUGAAGCUUGCUAACAAGCUAUUCCUCAACCAAGGCUUUCCAGUGAAACCUGAGUACAAGCAAGAUCUUCAGACAUACUAUCGUUCCGACAUUGAGUCGGUAAACUUUUCCGAACAGCAAAAAGCCGUGGAUACCAUCAAUACCUGGUGCAAAGACAACACCAACAAUCGCAUCGAUAACAUCAUUAGUGCCGAUGAGGUGAGUGGGGAUACUGCACUGGUGCUCGCAAACGCAGUAUACUUUAAGGGCAAAUGGGCUCACGAGUUCGAUCCUAAGGCUACUACAGACCGCCCGUUCCACAUUGAUGCCAAUACCGUAAAGAAUGUUCCAACUAUGUUCAGGAAAGGCAACUACAAAUACGUCGAACUGCCGGAAUACGAUGCUAAAUGCAUCGAGCUACCGUACGCGAACAAAGAGAUCAGCAUGGUGAUCAUCCUACCCAAUAAAAUUGAUGGUCUGAGUGCGCUGACUGACAAACUCGAGGAAGUUAGCACGGAAUGCAGCACCCGUCUCACUCAAAUUUACGAGCGUGAGGUACGAGUAUACCUGCCCAGAUUCAGGAUUGAGAACAAAUUGGACCUUGGAAAUACAUUGUCGCAAAAGAUGGGUCUUUCUGAACCGUUCAGCAACGGAGCCAACUUUAAUGGCAUUUCCGACGCACCUUUGAAGAUUGACAAAGUUGUGCAAAAAGCUUUCAUCGAAGUUAACGAGGAGGGUAGCGAGGCAGCAGCCGUCACUGAAGUGGAGAUCGAGAUGCGCUGUCUGAUCGAAAGGAUCACCGAAACUGAAUUGGAAAUUGAUCGUCCAUUCCUUUAUAGUAUUGUCAGGAUUCUUCAAGACCAGGAGAGCACAAACGGUGACACCGUGCCGCUGUUUACCGGAAUAGUCACCAUACCGGAAUAUUAACAAUCGCAAUGAAUAAAAUACGUGCUUGAUUUAUCACCUGUAUAUCUUAAAAAAACACAAACUUGGCCUUCAAAAUUAUUCAGGAAAAUCAAGACUUCAUGAUUGAUCGUCCAUUUGUCUAUAAAAUCAAAUUAAUCGGUUCCGAGGAAACGCCUAGUUUCUUAUCGUAUUUUGAUGGAUAUGUUCUCGAUCCGCAAUAACAUAGUAAUAAUAAAAACACCUUUUUAUAAGGAUUUCUAGUGAUUUUUAACAUAAUGCUAUUAUGUUAUAUCAUCAUUAUUAAAUAGUGCUGUUAAUGUGCCAAUAUUCUUGCGAGUGCUUUGUUCUGAUAAUUUUCUAAUGAUUUCACUAACAAAAUUCUCGAAAAUCUACUGUGAACUCGAAUGCAGCACAUUUGAGUGCAUAUAGUUUAGCGAUUAAUUUAAGCAAUUAAUUUAGUAAUUAAUUAAAUU
Molecule: unclassified non-coding RNA, 1838 nt
Filed under: Monomorium pharaonis (pharaoh ant)
Lineage: Eukaryota; Metazoa; Arthropoda; Insecta; Hymenoptera; Formicidae
Description: antichymotrypsin-2, transcript variant X23
Source: RNAcentral